UACGAAGGGUGCAAGCGUUACUCGGAAUUACUGGGCGUAAAGCGUGCGUAGGUGGUGGUUUAAGUCUGUUGUGAAAGCCCUGGGCUCAACCUAGGAAUUGCAGUGGAUACUGGGUCACUAGAGUGUGGUAGAGGGUAGCGGAAUUCCCGGUGUAGCAGUGAAAUGCGUAGAGAUCGGGAGGAACAUCCGUGGCGAAGGCGGCUACCUGGACCAACACUGACACUGAGGCA
RNAcentral lists this ribosomal RNA (230 nucleotides) under uncultured microorganism. RNAcentral describes it as "partial 16S ribosomal RNA". It matches the Rfam family "Bacterial small subunit ribosomal RNA", at positions 524 to 753 of the family's 1533-position model. The record is from RNAcentral.